Molecule: long non-coding RNA, 413 nt
Filed under: Nicotiana tabacum (common tobacco)
Lineage: Eukaryota; Viridiplantae; Streptophyta; Magnoliopsida; Solanales; Solanaceae
Description: long non-coding RNA (NTAB_LNC010429)
Source: RNAcentral
CAAACAUUUGGAGUUGCGUACCCUUUAAGGACUCUAGCUAGUGGGGAACACGAUCGAUGACCUCAUCAGCAAAGUAAUAGCAAGACCCACAAACAGAUUAAUCAGUCGUCUGAUUCUCCGGUAGCAGAAGCCGUCGCCGAUCACCGCUGUAAACUUAUUCUGUCGCCAUAGCUACAAUCUAAGAUAGUAUUUUGUCAGCUUACUAAGGAGAAUGUAUUUUUGGAAAAAGUAAAAAUAAAAUAGGAUAGAGCUCGCAUCUGACAACUGGUCUCUUCACUUCUUCCUGGCUUCACACAUGUCGUCAUUCUUAUCCAUUUGAAGCUCCACUUCCCACACAGAGUCACACAGUCCAAUCUAUCCUAAACAGGCAUACGACAAAGUCUUGAGUAACGCGAUCUUUUAGCUAAAGUUUC